CAGGAGGGUGACUCGGUUUCCCUCCGUACGCAGCUCUGUCAUCCUAAAGCACAUCCCUCUCUCCUCCUUAACAAGCAGGCAGGGAAGGUUAGCGGCUCUGGACCGGCUGGGCCCAGUCUGUUUACAGUGACAGGCAGCGUGCUUAGACGCGGUUCCCAUCCGUGUGGCUAUGGGAAGCAGGUCUCUCUCAUCCCUUCCUGGAAGGUAACAGCUCUGGCAUCUGAAGUGUCAGAAAAGAGCCUUUAGCCAUAAAUCAUUCUGAAAAGCAUUCGAAUCAGACAAGCGUCUAGAGACCCCUUAGACACUCCACCCCUCAAAUCAUAGAUCAAACAGCAGUUCCUAGAACCAUAAACACCUAUUAUAUGCAAAAUCACACUCAUCCGCAUGAGGAAUAAGGGGCGUUUGUCAGUGUAGGGACACCCCCCCCCCCCCGCACAGAUCCACAAACUCUCUUAGCAUCGUCGAAUGUCUUUUUGGAGGCCGAGGGUCCCCGCGCUUCGACAGCUGGCUCCAGCGUUUAGCAGGCGGACUGGACAUUCGCUUUCGCCUGGUUUUUCAACCAGGAGAAGCAAGUGCGAGAGCGCGGGGCUUGGGAAGUGGGAAGCGGGAGCGAGAAUCCACUCGGUCCUAUAGUAGAGGACAGCGGCCGCGCCUGAGACUCUACACUAGGGCGGCAACGCCUAGUGCAAAGCUCCGAUCGUCUGAGACUCGGAGACGAGAAAACCUGGAGCCCAGCGCGCCCGCCCAGCCCACCGCGGCUCUUGCCGAGCCGAACGCCCUGCGCCGCGUUACGUUUGCACCGCGCACUUUGCAAAUCUGCGGGUCCUCUCGGGGUGAAGAGCUGGAGCUGCACCGCGUCGUUAAGAGAGGACCCAGAGGCGAGAGGUCUUCGAUUUUGAGACAGCAACUUUCUCGCCCCAGGAAUGAAAGCGCGCCAGCUCUUUCCCUGUUGCUUCCUCGGUCAACCCAGAGCCCCCCUUGGUCUGGAAGUCUCCUCAAAUCCAGAACGGGGACGGCCGGGCGGGGGCGCGAGGCGGAGGCUGGGGAGGGGAGCGGCGGGAUGGAGGGCGGGCAGAACCUGGAGAGGGGCCCCCAACUCCGCCAGCUGCGAGCCGCGCUAGCCCCGCGGACCGAGGGCGGGGGCGCUGGGCACCGCUCUGGGGCCUGCGGACUCCGGGGUCGAGAUUACUCGACACGUGUCUUUUACUCCUCACAAUCCAUUUCUUACCCGUGAUUUAUGAGCGGACCUCUUUGAUCAGGCACGGUUUUAUCUGUCCACUGCUACGGAUGACAGAUGCGGCUGCUAAAAUACCUCAUCCCCGCUGCCUGGCCCCCUCCCAGAUGCUGUCGCUUUAUCUCGGGCGAUCUCCACCCCCAGCCCGUACGCUCGCCUCCCCUGGCCCCAGCUCCGUUUGUUAUCUCGGUUGCUGUUCUUCCGGGUGGUUUAAAUCAACAAGAAGUGCUGGACAGGGUCAAUAGGGAACCAAAGCACGCGGAGUUCGGUGCGCCUGCUGCCUGGUUUCACAUUUGUUGGAGUUCUAAGAAUCCCCCUGCUCCGGACCGGGAGAGCUGGCUCCCCGGGUGCGGGUGCGGGCGUCCCUCUUCGGAAGGGGGAAGGCGAGGCCGGCGCAGCCCAGUCCCCGCGGGCCCGGCGUCCUAAGGAGAAGGCGGGCGGGGAGCCGGAAGCUGGGGCUGCCUGAGCCCAGGGCUCCUCAGAAGGAGCAUUACAGUUUAACUGGGGAGACACUGAAGCGGCAGGAAAGGGGAGAGGGAGGAGAUCACAUUACGGACCCUCCUAGUGCCUAAUAGCCAGAGGACAUUUAAUAGCUGACGGGAUUAAACAUCGCAGACUCCAGCCUGGGCUAUUUGAAAAUCCGGGUCGUGGACUGUGCCUAACAUCAGAGGAGGAAAACUGAUCUAUGAGAUGUGUUUUAAGUUUCACUCAGUCAGGCCAGGAAAGAAGGAAGAGGAAGGAUUCUCCACUCCUGGUCUCUUUUACAGGUUAUGAAGUUAGAAGUUUUAAAGGCUGUGUGUUGAUGAGGGGUAGCAAGAGAAGUCAGGAGUGGAAUGAGGUGAGAGACAACCUUUGCAAGAGGUUAAAAGAAAUUUCCUUCUGUCAUAACGUGAAAGCUGGAUUUAUAAGAACAUUUUAAAGAAUACCGUU
Heterocephalus glaber (naked mole-rat) is the source of this 2164-nucleotide long non-coding RNA. Lineage: Eukaryota; Metazoa; Chordata; Mammalia; Rodentia; Bathyergidae. The record is from Ensembl.